GCCAAGCAUCUGUCCUUUCAUUCUCUCAAAUGCUUCUUUGUAUUUGUACUAAAGGGAAAGAGAGCGGGAGAGACCGACGGCUCAGGGACAAGGGACACAGAAUGGAAGAGGCGCUGGCAUCGCAUUGGAAUCAUUCCUUCCACAUGUCUGAGUUAACGAGAAGAACUUACAUUGCUAGCAAGCUCCCCCGAGGCUUUGGCGGCCAACAGAGACAUGGCGUCCAGCUUCAUUUCAAACCCUCUCCCCUUGGUCUUCUGCCAGCCUUCUUUGUACUUCACCUGGCGAAUAAAAACACAGGGUUUCUCUAUGUAGCUCUGGCUGUCCUGGAACUCACUCUGUGGACCAGGUUGGCCUCGAACUCACAGAGAUCUGCCUGCCUCUGCCUCCUGAAUGCUGGGAUUAAAGGCAUGUGCCACCACCACCCAGAAAAUAGGAUUUCUGACGGAAGACUUCAGUACCAUCUGUGAGGAGUGUUGCUCAAAAGUUAACCCUGGACCUUGGACACUGGUGACAGUUGGAAUUAUUAUUAGUUUUUUGAUGUGCUAUAUUAAAUUAUAAAAACAUAUUUUAUUACUUUUUAGAGAUUCAUACUAAAAUAUUUAUAGAUGAAGCUAGAUAAUAUCUUGGAAUUCCUUCAGAAUAAUAGAGAAAGGAAAUAGGAAACACAUAGAUGAAGCAGAAUGUGCUGUGAGUUAGUUGAUAGUUAUCAAAGCUGGUACUUGGGACUUCAAUACAGUGUACUCUACUUUCGCAUAUACUGACAUUCCCUAUAAAAAAAAGUUUGAAAGGAGGGGCAUCAUUUCAUGGCUGUAAUUAGAUAUUCCAGCAUUAGUAAAAGUAAAAUCCUUGG
Peromyscus californicus insignis is the source of this 850-nucleotide long non-coding RNA. RefSeq lists it as uncharacterized. The transcript has 3 exons. The record is from RefSeq and is a predicted model, not a curated record. Lineage: Eukaryota; Metazoa; Chordata; Mammalia; Rodentia; Cricetidae.